GCGCCCGUAGCUCAGCUGGAUAGAGUGUCGCCCUCCGAAGGCGAAGGUCACAGGUUCGACUCCUGUCGGGCGCGCCA
RNAcentral lists this transfer RNA (77 nucleotides) under Gammaproteobacteria bacterium. RNAcentral describes it as "tRNA-Arg". It matches the Rfam family "tRNA". Rfam says of the family: Transfer RNA (tRNA) molecules are approximately 80 nucleotides in length. Their secondary structure includes four short double-helical elements and three loops (D, anti-codon, and T loops). RNAcentral also lists the same sequence under 1 other name. Lineage: Bacteria; Pseudomonadati; Pseudomonadota; Gammaproteobacteria. The record is from RNAcentral.